GACGAACGCUGGCGGCGUGCCUAAUACAUGCAAGUAGAACGCUGAAGCGAGGAGCUUACUCUUCUUGGAUGAGUUGCGAACGGGUGAGUAACGCGUAGGUAACCUGCCUUGUAGCGGGGGAUAACUAUUGGAAACGAUAGCUAAUACCGCAUAACAAUGGAUGACACAUGUCAUUUAUUUGAAAGGGGCAAUUGCUCCACUACAAGAUGGACCUGCGUUGUAUUAGCUAGUAGGUGAGGUAAUGGCUCACCUAGGCGACGAUACAUAGCCGACCUGAGAGGGUGAGUGGCCACACUGGGACUGGGACACGGCCCAGACUCCCACGGGAAGGAGCAGGAGGGAAACUUCGGGAAUGGGGGCAAACCUGACCGAGCAACGCCGCGUGAGGGAAGAAGGUUUUCGGGUCGGAAAGCUCUGUUGUAAGGCAAGAAAGGGUGUGAGAGUGGAAAGUUCACACUGUGACGGUAGCUUAUCAGAAAGGGACGGCUAACUACGUG
This 497-nucleotide ribosomal RNA is filed under the name uncultured bacterium. Its description in RNAcentral is "partial 16S ribosomal RNA". It matches the Rfam family "Bacterial small subunit ribosomal RNA", at positions 28 to 507 of the family's 1533-position model. The record is from RNAcentral.